This 253-nucleotide ribosomal RNA is filed under the name uncultured bacterium. Its description in RNAcentral is "partial 16S ribosomal RNA". It matches the Rfam family "Bacterial small subunit ribosomal RNA", at positions 524 to 776 of the family's 1533-position model. The record is from RNAcentral.
UACGUAGGGUGCGAGCGUUGUCCGGAAUUAUUGGGCGUAAAGGGCUCGUAGGCGGUUUGUCGCGUCGACUGUGAAAUCCCGCGGCUCAACUGCGGGUCUGCAGUCGAUACGGGCAGGCUAGAGUUCGGUAGGGGAGACUGGAAUUCCUGGUGUAGCGGUGAAAUGCGCAGAUAUCAGGAGGAACACCGAUGGCGAAGGCAGGUCUCUGGGCCGAUACUGACGCUGAGGAGCGAAAGCGUGGGGAGCGAACAGG